This 138-nucleotide ribosomal RNA is filed under the name uncultured eukaryote. RNAcentral describes it as "partial 18S ribosomal RNA". It matches the Rfam family "Eukaryotic small subunit ribosomal RNA", at positions 1299 to 1458 of the family's 1831-position model. The record is from RNAcentral.
UGGUGGAGUGAUUUGUCUGGUUAAUUCCGUUAACGAACGAGACCUCAGCCUGCUAAUUAGGCGAGCUAAUAUCUCAUUGGACUCGUCUUCUUAGAGGGACUGUCGGUUAGUCACCGAUGGAAGUUUGAGGCAAUAACA